Molecule: long non-coding RNA, 450 nt
Organism: Solanum dulcamara
Lineage: Eukaryota; Viridiplantae; Streptophyta; Magnoliopsida; Solanales; Solanaceae
Exons: 2
Source: RefSeq, a predicted model, not a curated record
UUAAAAUCUCAUUAUAAAUAAGUUUUUUCUACUAUUUUAUUUGGUUAAAAUGUUUACAAUUUUUUGAGUCUUCUUCUCCUCCAUCAGUUGGAACAAUGAUACCUUCUGUUGAAUCAGAAACCUGCUAUCAAAUACAUCCAGAAAUAUUGUGUGAUCAAGGACAAGUUCAGCCAAAAUGUUUACCAUUUUGCAAGCAAAAGUUUGGACCCAAUGCUGGUGGCCAAUGCAUUGACCAGAUUGGAUUUGAUGGCCCUUUUUGUGCUUGUGAUUACCCUUGCUAGUCACCCCUUUAUAUCUCAUUUAUAUCUUAAUAAGCAUUAAUUAUUUCUACAUGUCACUUUACCUAUCCAUCUUGAUGUGAUCAUGUGGUAUCAAUCUCAAAAUACUUUAUAUUUUUAGAUUUGGUUAAUGCUAAUUCUAUCAUUAAGAAACUUUUGCUUCUUUUAUUCA